CCUACGGGAGGCAGCAGUGGGGAAUAUUGCACAAUGGGGGAAACCCUGAUGCAGCGACGCCGCGUGAGUGAAGAAGUAAUUCGUUAUGUAAAGCUCUAUCAGCAGGGAAGAAAAUGACGGUACCUGAGUAAGAAGCCCCGGCUAACUACGUGCCAGCAGCCGUGGUAAUACGUAGGGGGCAAGCGUGAUCCGGAUUUACUGGGUGUAAAGGGAGCGUAGACGGCAGUGCAAGUCUGGAGUGAAAGGCUGGGGGUCAACCCCCGGACUGCUCUGGAAACUGUACGGCUGGAGUGCAGGAGAGGUAAGUGGAAUUCCUAGUGUAGCGGUGAAAUGCGUAGAUAUUAGGAGGAACCCCAGUGGCGAAGGCGGCUUACUGGACUGUAACUGACGUUGAGGCUCGAAAGCGUGGGGAGCAAACAGGAUUAGAUACCCGAGUAGUC
Molecule: ribosomal RNA, 440 nt
Filed under: uncultured bacterium
Lineage: Bacteria
Description: partial 16S ribosomal RNA
Rfam family: Bacterial small subunit ribosomal RNA
Source: RNAcentral